Molecule: ribosomal RNA, 379 nt
Filed under: uncultured Planctomycetota bacterium
Lineage: Bacteria; Pseudomonadati; Planctomycetota
Description: bacterial SSU rRNA
Rfam family: Bacterial small subunit ribosomal RNA
Source: RNAcentral
UAAUACGGAGGGCGCAAGCGUUGUUCGGAAUCACUGGGCAUAAAGAGCACGUAGGCUGUUCAAUCAGUCGGAUGUGAAAGCCCCCGGCUCAACCGGGGAACUGCAUUCGAUACUAUUGAGCUAGAGGACAGGAGGGGUGAGUGGAACUCCAGGUGGAACGGUGAAAUGUGUAGAUAUCUGGAGGAACACCGGUGGCGAAAGCGGCUCACUGGCCUGUCUCUGACGCUGAGGUGCGAAAGCUAGGGUAGCGAACGGGAUUAGAUACCCCGGUAGUCCUAGCCGUAAACGAUGGGCACUAGGCAAUGGGUUUUCCCUAUGGGACUCAUUGCCGUAGCAAAUGUGUUAAGUGCCCCGCCUGGGGAGUACGCUCGCAAGGGUA